This 277-nucleotide ribosomal RNA is filed under the name uncultured bacterium. RNAcentral's name for it is "partial 16S ribosomal RNA". It matches the Rfam family "Bacterial small subunit ribosomal RNA", at positions 28 to 305 of the family's 1533-position model. The record is from RNAcentral.
GACGAACGCUGGCGGCGUGCUUAACACAUGCAAGUCGAGCGGUAAGGCCUAGCUUGCUGGGUACACGAGCGGCGAACGGGUGAGUAACACGUGGGUGACCUGCCUUCAGCUCUGGGAUAAGCCUGGGAAACUGGGUCUAAUACCGGAUAUGAUCUUCUGGUGCAUGCCGGGGGAUGGAAAGUUUUUUCGGCUGGAGAUGGGCCCGCGGCCUAUCAGCUUGUUGGUGGGGUGAUGGCCUACCAAGGCGACGACGGGUAGCCGGCCUGAGAGGGCGACC